GCAUUGACGUUCGGCGGCGCAUUUUUUCAAAUCGAGGAAGAGAGAAUAUUGGUUGGUUGCGAGAUACAGAAGAAUAAGAACAUUUCUACAGCUCCACGAGCUCUUUUCGCGGUUGGCAAAAGCAUGAUGUAUCAAGGGAUGACACAGAGACCUCUGGCUCUGAGCAAGACAGUGAGCCAGAGCUGCCUGGAGAUGUCAUCGAGCACCAGAUACGCUGUUCCAAAAUGACCCAACUUUAAACUACACAUUUUAGUUAGCAGCUGUUAGUAUCUAAUCUUGUGGAUCCCUUAAUUAUACAUUUCCAUAGAAAGAUGACACAUUAUUUAACGUGUAUUUCAGAUAUUUCAAGAUCCAGAGAAGAAGAUCCUGUACAGCUGUGUUUAAAAACAUUUCCCAGAACUCAGCUUGGUACUAGGAACAGGCCUUUCAACAGCUCCUGGUAUAAGGACAAUUCAUGGCUUGAAUAUUCUGUAAAUCAAGAUUUGACUUAUUGUUUCUCCCGUAGACAUUUUUCUCUGCUCAAUACACAUGAAUCUGCCUUCA
Molecule: long non-coding RNA, 543 nt
Organism: Oncorhynchus nerka (sockeye salmon)
Lineage: Eukaryota; Metazoa; Chordata; Actinopteri; Salmoniformes; Salmonidae
Exons: 2
Source: RefSeq, a predicted model, not a curated record